RNAcentral lists this ribosomal RNA (500 nucleotides) under uncultured bacterium. RNAcentral describes it as "partial 16S ribosomal RNA". It matches the Rfam family "Bacterial small subunit ribosomal RNA", at positions 30 to 523 of the family's 1533-position model. The record is from RNAcentral.
AUUGAACGCUAGCGGGAUGCCUUACACAUGCAAGUCGAACGGCAGCGCGGACUUCGGUCUGGCGGCGAGUGGCGAACGGGUGAGUAAUGUAACGGAACGUGCCCAGUAGCGGGGGAUAACUACUCGAAAGAGUAGCUAAUACCGCAUACGCCCUACGGGGGAAAGGGGGGGAUCGCAAGAUCUCUCACUAUUGGAGAGGCCGAUAUCGGAUUAGCUAGUUGGUGAGGUAAAGGCUCACCAAGGCGCCGAUCCGUAGCUGGAUUGAGAGGACGACCGGCCACACUGGGACUGAGACACGGCCCAGUCUCCUACGGGAGUCAGCAGUGUGGAAUUUUGGGCAAUGGGGGCAAACCUGAUCCAGCCAUUCAGAGUGUGCGAUGAAGGCCUUCGGGUUGUAAAGCACUUUUGGCAGGAAAGAAAUCGCACGGAUUAAUACUCUGUGUGGAUGACGGUACCUGCAGAAUAAGCACCGACUAACUACGUGCCAGCCGCCGCGGUAA